AAACCAUGCACCGAAGCUGCGGCAGCGAACGUAUCACUUAAAGCGAUUCAGCGGGUUACGAUUGACGGAGCGAAGCGACGUCAAAGCGUAUACAAAGUCGAGUCGGUUUAAGGAUACGUUCGUUGGGUAGGGGAGCGUUCUGUAAGCCUGCGAAGGUGGCCUGUGAGGGUUGCUGGAGGUAUCAGAAGUGCGAAUGCUGACAUAAGUAACGAUAAAGCGGGUGAAAAGCCCGCUCGCCGGAAGACCAAGGGUUCCUGUCCAACGUUAAUCGGGGCAGGGUGAGUCGACCCCUAAGGCGAGGCCGAAAGGCGUAGUCGAUGGGAAACGGGUUAAUAUUCCCGUACUUGGUGUUACUGCGAAGGGGGGACGGAGAAGGCUAUGUUGGCCGGGCGACGGUUGUCCCGGUUUAAGCGUGUAGGCUGGUUUUCCAGGCAAAUCCGGAAAAUCAAGGCUGAGGCGUGACGACGAGGCACUACGGUGCUGAAGCAACAAAUGCCCUGCUUCCAGGAAAAGCCUCUAAGCAUCAGGUAACACGAAAUCGUACCCCAAACCGACACAGGUGGUCAGGUAGAGAAUACCAAGGCGCUUGAGAGAACUCGGGUGAAGGAACUAGGCAAAAUGGUGCCGUAACUUCGGGAGAAGGCACGCUGACACGUAGGUGAAGUGAUUUACUCAUGGAGCUGAAGUCAGUCGAAGAUACCAGCUGGCUGCAACUGUUUAUUAAAAACACAGCACUGUGCAAACACGAAAGUGGACGUAUACGGUGUGACGCCUGCCCGGUGCCGGAAGGUUAAUUGAUGGGGUCAGCGCAAGCGAAGCUCCUGAUCGAAGCCCCGGUAAACGGCGGCCGUAACUAUAACGGUCCUAAGGUAGCGAAAUUCCUUGUCGGGUAAGUUCCGACCUGCACGAAUGGCGUAAUGAUGGCCAGGCUGUCUCCACCCGAGACUCAGUGAAAUUGAACUCGCUGUGAAGAUGCAGUGUACCCGCGGCAAGACGGAAAGACCCCGUGAACCUUUACUAUAGCUUGACACUGAACAUUGAGCCUUGAUGUGUAGGAUAGGUGGGAGGCUUUGAAGCGUGGACGCCAGUCUGCGUGGAGCCGACCUUGAAAUACCACCCUUUAAUGUUUGAUGUUCUAACGUGGACCCGUUACCCGGGUUGCGGACAGUGUCUGGUGGGUAGUUUGACUGGGGCGGUCUCCUCCUAAAGAGUAACGGAGGAGCACGAAGGUUGGCUAAUCCUGGUCGGACAUCAGGAGGUUAGUGCAAUGGCAUAAGCCAGCUUGACUGCGAGCGUGACGGCGCGAGCAGGUGCGAAAGCAGGUCAUAGUGAUCCGGUGGUUCUGAAUGGAAGGGCCAUCGCUCAACGGAUAAAAGGUACUCCGGGGAUAACAGGCUGAUACCGCCCAAGAGUUCAUAUCGACGGCGGUGUUUGGCACCUCGAUGUCGGCUCAUCACAUCCUGGGGCUGAAGUAGGUCCCAAGGGUAUGGCUGUUCGCCAUUUAAAGUGGUACGCGAGCUGGGUUUAGAACGUCGUGAGACAGUUCGGUCCCUAUCUGCCGUGGGCGCUGGAGAACUGAGGGGGGCUGCUCCUAGUACGAGAGGACCGGAGUGGACGCAUCACUGGUGUUCGGGUUGUCAUGCCAAUGGCACUGCCCGGUAGCUAAAUGCGGAAGAGAUAAGUGCUGAAAGCAUCUAAGCACGAAACUUGCCCCGAGAUGAGUUCUCCCUGAGACUUAGAGUCUCCUGAAGGAACGUUGAAGACGACGACGUUGAUAGGCCGGGUGUGUAAGCGCAGCGAUGCGUUGAGCUAACCGGUACUAAUGAACCGUGAGGCUUAACCUUAC
RNAcentral lists this ribosomal RNA (1846 nucleotides) under Salmonella enterica. RNAcentral describes it as "partial 23S ribosomal RNA". It matches the Rfam family "Bacterial large subunit ribosomal RNA", at positions 1184 to 2925 of the family's 2925-position model. The record is from RNAcentral. Lineage: Bacteria; Pseudomonadati; Pseudomonadota; Gammaproteobacteria; Enterobacterales; Enterobacteriaceae.